GAUGAACGCUGGCGGCGUGCCUAAUACAUGCAAGUCGAGCGAACGGACGAGAAGCUUGCUUCUCUGAUGUUAGCGGCGGACGGGUGAGUAACACGUGGAUAACCUACCUAUAAGACUGGGAUAACUUCGGGAAACCGUAGCUAAUACCGGUUAAUAUUUUGAACUGCAUGGUUCAAAAGUGAAAGACCGUCUUGCUGUCACUUAUAGAUGGAUCCGCGCUGCAUUAGCUAGUUGGUAAGGUAACGGCUUACCAAGGCAACGAUGCAUAGCCGACCUGAGAGGGUGAUCGGCCACACUGGAACUGAGACACGGUCCAGACUCCUACGGGAGGCAGCAGUAGGGAAUCUUCCGCAAUGGGCGAAAGCCUGACGGAGCAACGCCGCGUGAGUGAUGAAGGUCUUCGGAUCGUAAAACUCUGUUAUUAGGGAAGAACAUAUGUGUAAGUAACUGUGCACAUCUUGACGGUACCUAAUCAGAAAGCCACGGCUAACUACGUG
This 497-nucleotide ribosomal RNA is filed under the name uncultured bacterium. RNAcentral describes it as "partial 16S ribosomal RNA". It matches the Rfam family "Bacterial small subunit ribosomal RNA", at positions 28 to 507 of the family's 1533-position model. The record is from RNAcentral.